Molecule: ribosomal RNA, 634 nt
Filed under: Penicillium lividum
Lineage: Eukaryota; Fungi; Ascomycota; Eurotiomycetes; Eurotiales; Aspergillaceae
Description: eukaryotic LSU rRNA
Rfam family: Eukaryotic large subunit ribosomal RNA
Source: RNAcentral
UUGACCUCGGAUCAGGUAGGGAUACCCGCUGAACUUAAGCAUAUCAAUGAGCGGAGGAAAAGAAACCAACAGGGAUUACCUCAGUAACGGCGAGUGAAGCGGUAAGAGCUCAAAUUUGAAAGCUGGCUCCUUCGGGGUCCGCAUUGUAAUUUGCAGAGGAUGUUUCGGAAGCAGCCCCCAUCUAAGUACCCUGGAACGGGUCGUCAUAGAGGGUGAGAAUCCCGUAUGGGAUGGGGUGUCUGCGCCCAUGUGAAACUCCUUCGACGAGUCGAGUUGUUUGGGAAUGCAGCUCUAAAUGGGUGGUAAAUUUCAUCUAAAGCUAAAUAUUGGCCGGAGACCGAUAGCGCACAAGUAGAGUGAUCGAAAGAUGAAAAGCACUUUGAAAAGAGAGUUAAAAAGCACGUGAAAUUGUUGAAAGGGAAGCGCUUGCGACCAGACUCGCCUCGGGGGUUCAACCGGCAUUCGUGCCGGUGUACUUCCCCCGGGGCGGGCCAGCGUCGGUUUGGGCGGUCGGUCAAAGGCCCUCGGAAUGUAACGCCUCUCGGGGCGUCUUAUAGCCGAGGGUGCCAUGCGACCUGCCCGGACCGAGGAACGCGCUUCGGCUCGGACGCUGGCAUAAUGGUCGUAAGCGACC